This 255-nucleotide ribosomal RNA is filed under the name uncultured bacterium. RNAcentral's name for it is "partial 16S ribosomal RNA". The record is from RNAcentral.
CUGCUGCCUCCCGUAGGAGUUUGGGCCGUGUCUCAGUCCCAAUGUGGCCGUCCACCCUCUCAGGCCGGCUACUGAUCGCUGCCUUGGUGGGCCGUUAUCCCGCCAACUAGCUAAUCAGACGCGGAUCCAUCGUAUACCACCGGAAUUUUUCACACUGCCCCAUGCGGAGCCGUGCGCUUAUGCGGUAUUAGCACCUAUUUCUAAGUGUUAUCCCCCAGUGUAAGGCAGGUUACCCACGCGUUACUCACCCGUCCG